GACGAACGCUGGCGGCGUGCCUAAUACAUGCAAGUAGAACGCACAGUUUAUACCGUAGCUUGCUACACCAUAGACUGUGAGUUGCGAACGGGUGAGUAACGCGUAGGUAACCUGCCUGGUAGCGGGGGAUAACUAUUGGAAACGAUAGCUAAUACCGCAUAAUAUUAAUUAUUGCAUGAUAAUUAAUUGAAAGGUGCAAUUGCACCACUACCAGAUGGACCUGCGUUGUAUUAGCUAGUAGGUGAGGUAACGGCUCACCUAGGCGACGAUACAUAGCCGACCUGAGAGGGUGAUCGGCCACACUGGGACUGAGACACGGCCCAGACUCCUACGGGAGGCAGCAGUAGGGAAUCUUCGGCAAUGGACGAAAGGCUGACCGAGCAACGCCGCGGGAGGGAAGAAGGUUUUCGGAUCGUAAAGCUCUGUUGUAAGAGAAGAACGGGUGUGAGAGUGGAAAGUUCACACUGUGACGGUAUCUUACCAGAAAGGGACGGCUAACUACGUG
RNAcentral lists this ribosomal RNA (505 nucleotides) under uncultured bacterium. Its description in RNAcentral is "partial 16S ribosomal RNA". It matches the Rfam family "Bacterial small subunit ribosomal RNA", at positions 28 to 507 of the family's 1533-position model. The record is from RNAcentral.